RNAcentral lists this ribosomal RNA (497 nucleotides) under uncultured bacterium. RNAcentral's name for it is "partial 16S ribosomal RNA". It matches the Rfam family "Bacterial small subunit ribosomal RNA", at positions 28 to 507 of the family's 1533-position model. The record is from RNAcentral.
GAUGAACGCUGGCGGCGUGCCUAAUACAUGCAAGUCGAGCGAACAGACGAGGAGCUUGCUCCUCUGACGUUAGCGGCGGACGGGUGAGUAACACGUGGAUAACCUACCUAUAAGACUGGGAUAACUUCGGGAAACCGGAGCUAAUACCGGAUAAUAUAUUGUACCGCAUGGUUCAAUAGUGAAAGACGGUUUUGCUGUCACUUAUAGAUGGAUCCGCGCCGCAUUAGCUAGUUGGUAAGGUAACGGCUUACCAAGGCGACGAUGCGUAGCCGACCUGAGAGGGUGAUCGGCCACACUGGAACUGAGACACGGUCCAGACUCCUACGGGAGGCAGCAGUAGGGAAUCUUCCGCAAUGGGCGAAAGCCUGACGGAGCAACGCCGCGUGAGUGAUGAAGGUCUUCGGAUCGUAAAACUCUGUUAUUAGGGAAGAACAAAUGUGUAAGUAACUAUGCACGCCUUGACGGUACCUAAUCAGAAAGCCACGGCUAACUACGUG